UGCUCCUGUUGCUUUGCAUACACAAAGUGUGUGGUGAGUUCCCUGUAGAUAUAAGAUGCUAUAAAUGUUCUAUUUCCUAUGUGACGUCUCAGUGAUCUGCACCUGACACUGCUCCUACUGUCAGUAUGGGGAGAUACUUACUGCUUGUCCUCUCCGCUCUCUUCUCUCUCUCUGUUCCAGGCACCUAUGGGCAGAUUGUACUGACUCAGUCUCCAGAUUAUGUCUCUGUGUCACCAGGAGAAACUGUCACCCUCACAUGUAAAGCCAGUAGCAGUGUUGGCACCAGCUACUUGCACUGGUACCAACAGAAAUCAGGGCAGGCACCAAAGCUGCUGAUCUAUCACGCAAGCACCCGACACACAGGGACCCCAGAGCGGAUCAGCGGCAGUGGGUCUGGAACUGAUUUCACUCUUACAAUCAGCAGAAUGGAAGCAGAAGAUGCAGCAGAUUAUUACUGUCAGCAGAGUGACAGUGGGUCACACAGUGAUACAGAGCUGAACAAAAACCUCCCUGUUACUGUGCCAGUGAGUUAUUUACAUGAUACUCUAUAAAGCUACAGAGCAUGACAUGAUAUUCUCAGUAGGCUUGUUAUA
This is a non-coding RNA of Xenopus laevis (African clawed frog), 593 nucleotides long. The record is from the annotation of a RefSeq genome assembly. NCBI's taxonomy places the organism in Eukaryota, Metazoa, Chordata, Amphibia, Anura, Pipidae.